GCGCGAAAACUUUACAAUGCGGGAAACCGUGAUAAGGGAAUCUCGAGUGCCAGCAUAUAAUGUUGGCUGUCCAGAUGCCUAAAAAGCAUCUGUUAGCAAGGGCCGGGCAAGACCGGUGCCAGCCGCCGCGGUAACACCGGCGGCCCGAGUGGUAACCGCUUUUAUUGGGUCUAAAGGGUCUGUAGCCGGCCAAGUAAGUCCCUUGGGAAAUCUGGCAGCUUAACUGUCAGGCUGCUAGGGGAUACUGCUAGGCUUGGGACCGGGAGAGGUGAGAGGUACCUUGGGGGUAGGGGUGAAAUCUUGUGAUGCUCGGGGGAACACCAGUGGCGAAGGCGACUCACCAGAACGGGUCCGACGGUAAGGGACGAAAGCUAGGGGCACGAACCG
Molecule: ribosomal RNA, 387 nt
Filed under: uncultured bacterium
Lineage: Bacteria
Description: bacterial SSU rRNA
Rfam family: Archaeal small subunit ribosomal RNA
Source: RNAcentral